AGAGUUUGAUCCUGGCUCAGAACGAACGCUGGCGGCGUGCUUAACACAUGCAAGUCGAGUGCGCGUCCGUAGCAAUACGGAUGGNNCACGGCGCACGGGUGCGUAACACGUGGGCAUCUGCCCUUCGAUGGGGAAUAACUCCGGGAAACCGAAGCUAAUUCCGCAUAACAUUCCUUGGACCUCGGUUCGAGGACUCAAAGCCGUAAGGCGUCGAAGGAGGAGCCCGCGCCCGAUUAGCUAGUUGGUGAGGUAACGGCUCACCAAGGCAAUGAUCGGUAGCUGGUCUGAGAGGAUGGCCAGCCACACUGGAACUGAGACACGGUCCAGACUCCUACGGGAGGCAGCAGUGGGGAAUCUUGCACAAUGGGCGAAAGCCUGAUGCAGCGACGCCGCGUGGGGGAUGAAGCUUUUCGGAGUGUAAACCCCUUUCGACUGGGACGAAUGCCUCGCAAGAGGAGUGACGGUACCAGUAUAAGAAGCCCCGGCUAACUACGUGCCAGCAGCCGCGGUAAGACGUAGGGGGCCAGCGUUGUUCGGAAUUACUGGGUGUAAAGGGUUCGUAGGCGGUGUGGCAAGUCGGGAGUGAAAUCUCUGGGCUCAACCCAGAGACUGCUUCCGAAACUGCUGUGCUUGAGUGUGAGAGAGGCUCGUGGAAUUGCAGGUGUAGCGGUGAAAUGCGUAGAUAUCUGCAGGAACACCCGUGGCGAAAGCGGCGAGCUGGAUCACUACUGACGCUGAGGAACGAAAGCUAGGGGAGCAAACAGGAUUAGAUACCCUAGUAGUCC
Molecule: ribosomal RNA, 785 nt
Filed under: uncultured bacterium
Lineage: Bacteria
Description: bacterial SSU rRNA
Rfam family: Bacterial small subunit ribosomal RNA
Source: RNAcentral